GAUGAAGAACGUAGCGAAAUGCGAUAAGUAAUGUGAAUUGCAGAAUUCAGUGAAUCAUCGAAUCUUUGAACGCACAUUGCGCCCCCUGCUAUUCCGGGGGGCAUGCCUGUUCGAGCGUCAUUUCACCACUCAAGCCUCGCUUGGUAUUGGGCAACGCGGUCCGCCGCGUGCCUCAAAUCGACCGGCUGGGUCUUCUGUCCCCUAAGCGUUGUGGAAACUAUUCGCUAAAGGGUGUUCGGGAGGCUACGCCGUAAAACAACCCCAUUUCUAAGGUUGACCUCGGAUCAGGUAGGGAUACCCGCUGAACUUAAGCAUAUCAAUAAGCGGAGGA
RNAcentral lists this unclassified non-coding RNA (331 nucleotides) under soil metagenome. RNAcentral's name for it is "partial contains 5.8S ribosomal RNA, internal transcribed spacer 2, and large subunit ribosomal RNA". The stretch from base 1 to 120 matches the Rfam family "5.8S ribosomal RNA", at positions 35 to 154 of the family's 154-position model. The record is from RNAcentral.